Molecule: unclassified non-coding RNA, 2667 nt
Filed under: Leishmania donovani
Lineage: Eukaryota; Euglenozoa; Kinetoplastea; Trypanosomatida; Trypanosomatidae
Description: gene:LdHU3.22.0210(CDS-product:hypothetical_prote in_conserved)
Source: RNAcentral
CAGUGCCUUACCCAAUGAAAACUAGUAAACACACAUACACACACAAAACGCAACGCACGCACGCACGCACUCGCACCUUCAUCGCUCGUCCUUUCUUCUGCGGUGAUCAUCCAGGGUGCCUUCAUUAUCCGCACGCACACACACACACACACACAAACACACAUAGCCUUGCUCGCCCUCUCCGCUGCGUGCCCCCCCUCCCUGUCCCCAUCCUUCCCCGCGUACUAAGUAGAGGAGGAAGUAGCGGCAAGAAAGAGGCGACCCCGACAACAAAUAUAAACGGAGCCGGAGCGCUGCAUUAGUGCUGCCGGCCGCUUUGGGCCAUUGACUGUAUCGCCGGGGUCUGGGCUGUGCUCAAAAUACAGCCGUGACGCACACACAGACACUUGUUCCUCUCGUCGCCUUGGUGGGCAAGCCAUUGUGUCGUCUCUUCCUUUUCUUUUAGUAUUAUUGUGCGUGAGCACGUCCUUGUGUGUCGCCCUCCGUCUCUUGCUGUACCCCCUUCGCACGCUGCCAGCGAACGCUCGCUCGUCCGUGUCGUAAUUGUCACCGGUGUGGUGGUCGCUGUUUUCUUUUCGUUUCUUUUUUUUUGAUUGGUUUGUUCGCGUCUCUUGCUAAUCCUUCUCUUUCAGCUUCCUGGUUUGUUGUGUGUGGAGGCUCGGUGUCCGUGCGCACGUCAUUUUGCCCCUCUGCCGCCGCCGCCGGCAGGCCUUCUCUUCCCAGCAUAGCACCAUGGCAUACUACGGAUCCCAGCCAGAGCAAACCAAAGCUCAGAUUCGAUCUACUCGGGGCGAGACCAUUGACCUGGCUCUCCCUGUCACCUGCCUUGUGGGGGAGCUGCGCUCGUUUCUUAUCGAAGAGUACGGAUAUGACCCUAACACGCGUCUCCUGUACAACGGGCUCGUCGCUGACGACAACUCAUACGUGUGCGAUUACCCCUUCGGCUCCCUCAUGAUUGCCACCCCCGCUGACACACACUCGCAGCGCCAGUCGCUGCCCCCGCGACAGCCCGCGGUCGCACACGUGCCACCGCAGCAGCAACAGCAGGAGCCUAACCUCGAGUCGUCACGCCCGACUGCUCACCUAUCCCCGACCGUCAGCACAAGUGCGGACGCCGUUCGCAAAAGCAAGACUGCUGAGCCGAUGCCGACCUACACGAGCGCUGCUGCGCGCACGAUGAGCCCGGCAGAAGCGCCGCCGGAUACCGCGAAAGCGAAGCGCAGCACCACAGUACUCAAGCAUCGGCCCAAGAACUCGGCGCGCCAGCUCCGCUCCAUAAGCACCGAGUCGACCGGGUCACAAAACAGGCUCAUGAAGGGGGAUGGCACCUCGGAUACCGCGAGCUCUGUUCCCGCCGCAUCCCCGCAGCCGCCUCCACCGCCGCUUUCUGCAGCGAACAACGGUGCUUCGCCCGCACCGGGGAGCGGCCGUGUACAGCUAGCCACUGGCCAACGCAACUCUCCCUGGCCACAGGGAUCGCAAAACGCGACCGCGGCUCCCUCCAUCGCCGCACCGUCGCAGGCGGCCGACCUCCCACCUUCCCCGCGCAGUGAGGAACCGAGUGUGGCGGCCGAGGUGCCCAGCGGUGAAGGUGGCAAUGACGACGACAACCAGCGCCGGCGAGUGCAGCUGACCGUGGAGUGCCACAUCCCUUCUCUCAACCAGGUGGUGCCGGUGAGUGUGAACGGUGAUUCCUCCGUGUCGGAUCUAAUCCUGGCGGUGGCGGCCGCGGUUCCCGAGCUAAAACCGGAUGCGCAGGUAGUCCACCGCGGCAAACUGCUGCCGGUGUCGCCGAAGGCGAAGCUGUUUGACCACGGUAUUCGCAGCGACGCUCGCGUCUUCAUCGCGGAAGGGGAUUACAACAACGCCGAAAAGAUCACGCUGCUGGAGAUUCAGGAGGACAUCGCCGUGAUUGAGCGAGCCAUGGAGUCGCCCCUCACGGAUCUGCAGCGGAAGGGUUAUUACGAGGAGCUGAUGCGUAUCCUGUUCCGUACGGACGGGCUGCAAUCUCUGGAGGGGGAGUGGCGGCAGCGACGCAAAGACGCGGUGAAGCACAUUACGUCACUGCAGGACGCAUUGGGCGUAGAUGUAAAAGAGUCUUGAUAUGGGAUACCUCAUCUCUGUUCUGGCAGUGCCUUUGUGCGGUCGUGGGUGGCAAUGGCUCUGCUCGUCAUCCUCGUUGCCGAUUGUGUAUACGUAUUCGCGCUUCCUCCCUGGAUCUCUCCUCUCCCUUUGCUACCCCACCCGCACCGCCAACCCUUUACUCCCUUUUCGCCUUGCUUGCGUUCUUCAUGAUGCCGCGACUUUCUCGCUCCGUUUGCUGACAUGCGGGUGGGCAACCGACGUCCGCAAGCGCAGCGCAAGAGGGGAAAGGGGUGCGUGCCUCUCGGUCAGGGAAGGAGCCGCUUCUUUUUGUUUUGGAGAAUGUAAGGAGAACUAGUGUAGGCGGAGUUUUGUCUUGUGAUGUCAUUAAUGUACUCCAUCCACCCACCACCACCACUACCCCCGGGGAUUCUCGACAGCCUCUUCUUUCCCUGCGUUGUUGGUUGCGUUUCUCCCUUCACCUUCUUACUCUGGUCUUCCAUACUCCUUGUACGCCCGUUGAUCCAUGUGGUGGUGGCUCGGCACUGACACGGCACAAAUGUGAAAUGCAGGAACAAAAACAAC